Molecule: long non-coding RNA, 725 nt
Organism: Haliotis rubra (blacklip abalone)
Lineage: Eukaryota; Metazoa; Mollusca; Gastropoda; Lepetellida; Haliotidae
Exons: 2
Source: RefSeq, a predicted model, not a curated record
CUGAGUCAUUUGAUGAUGCUUGACGGCCAAGCUUAUAAACAUAUUUACAAUCAAUUAUUAGGGUGAAAGUGGCUGUUUCUAACUCUGAGGCAGUGUGUAGCCAAGAGGUUAGAGCAUUUGCUUGUCUCACCAAAGGUCCAGGUUCGAUAUCACAACAUGUGAAACCUUUUUUCUCUUGUCACCAGCUGCCGUAUUGCAAAUAUACUUAAUACACUAACUCAAAAUACAUAUUGUUAGUGGAAAGUGUAGUAAAAUAUUUAUGUCUUCUUCUUAUCAAUUACAAACAUGAUAAAUGCUUUGAUGAAUCUUCAAUUGGUUUAAGGUGGCAUAUUGGAAAUUGUUAUUUUAUAUUGUUUGAACAGUUAACUGACAUCUCUGUCCUGGAGCUGCUUUUGUUUGUUUGUUUGUUUGUUUGUUUAUUUGUUUGUCAUCGUGGUAGUGGUACACUAGCUCUCAUUCAUAUAUUAGUAGGUUCAUUGUCAGGUUGCAAGUUAUUUGUUUUGUUUGUUUUCCAGCAAGAUUAAAAUAUAUUUCCAUUUUGUUUGGAUGCAAAAUAAGUUGUCAAGAAAAAAAAUAAUUUGGGAUCCAAACAGCAGUUUUAUAAAAUAUACAAUUUUCAGUUAACAGAAAGGGGCAUAGAAUGAUGAUUAAUCCUGCAGAAAUAGCCAGCACAAAAUUGUCCCCCCUUUUUACAAAGAUUUAGUCAUUUCUGUCUUCAUAAUAAU